AUUGAACGCUGGCGGCAGGCCUAACACAUGCAAGUCGAAUGGUAACAGGAAACAGCUUGCUGUUUCUCUGACGAGUGGCGGACGGGUGAGUAAUGUCUGUGAAACUGCCUGAUGGAGGGGGAUAACUACUGGAAACGGUAGCUAAUACCGCAUAACGUCGCAAGCCCAAAGAGGGGGACCUUCGGGCCUCUUGCCAUCAGAUGUGCCCAGAUGGGAUUAGCUAGUAGGUGGGGUAACGGCUCACCUAGGCGACGAUCCCUAGCUGGUCUGAGAGGAUGACCGGCCACACUGGAACUGAGACACGGUCCAGACUCCUACGGGAGGCAGCAGUGGGGAAUAUUGCACAAUGGGCGCAAGCCUGAUGCAGCCAUGCCGCGUGUAUGAAGAAGGCCUUCGGGUUGUAAAGUACUUUCAGCGGGGAGGAAGGGAGUAAAGUUAAUACCUUUGCUCAUUGACGUUACCCGCAGAAGAAGCACCGGCUAACUCCGUG
This 490-nucleotide ribosomal RNA is filed under the name uncultured bacterium. RNAcentral describes it as "partial 16S ribosomal RNA". It matches the Rfam family "Bacterial small subunit ribosomal RNA", at positions 30 to 507 of the family's 1533-position model. The record is from RNAcentral.